GUCCCCGUAGCUCAGCUGGAUAGAGCGACUGCCUCCUAAGCCGUAGGUCGCAGGUUCGAAUCCUGCCGGGGACGCCA
RNAcentral lists this transfer RNA (77 nucleotides) under Candidatus Omnitrophota bacterium. Its description in RNAcentral is "Candidatus Omnitrophica bacterium tRNA-Arg". It matches the Rfam family "tRNA". From Rfam's summary of the family: Transfer RNA (tRNA) molecules are approximately 80 nucleotides in length. Lineage: Bacteria; Pseudomonadati; Candidatus Omnitrophota. The record is from RNAcentral.